UAUAAAUAAAAUUUUAGUGAAUGUGGA
This 27-nucleotide non-coding RNA is filed under the name Cricetulus griseus (Chinese hamster). Lineage: Eukaryota; Metazoa; Chordata; Mammalia; Rodentia; Cricetidae. The record is from RNAcentral.